This 254-nucleotide ribosomal RNA is filed under the name uncultured bacterium. Its description in RNAcentral is "partial 16S ribosomal RNA". It matches the Rfam family "Bacterial small subunit ribosomal RNA", at positions 331 to 604 of the family's 1533-position model. The record is from RNAcentral.
GCGAACCUACGGGACGCAGCAGUAGGGAAUUUUCGUCAAUGGGCGCAAGCCUGAACGAGCAAUGCCGCGUGAGUGAAGAAGUAUUUCGGUAUGUAAAGCUCUAUCAGCAGGGAAGAAAAUGACAGUACCUGACUAAGAAGCCCCGGCUAACUACGUGCCAGCAGCCGCGGUAAUACGUAGGGGGCAAGCGUUAUCCGGAUUUACUGGGUGUAAAGGGAGCGUAGACGGCUGCGCAAGUCAGAAGUGAAAGCCCG